This is a non-coding RNA of Podarcis lilfordi (Lilford's wall lizard), 69 nucleotides long. The record is from the annotation of a GenBank genome assembly. NCBI's taxonomy places the organism in Eukaryota, Metazoa, Chordata, Lepidosauria, Squamata, Lacertidae.
GGAUAGCUCAGUCAGUAUAAUCAUGAGACUCUUAAUCUCAGGUCAUGGGUUCGAGCCCCAUGUUGGGCA